RNAcentral lists this transfer RNA (73 nucleotides) under Ailuropoda melanoleuca (giant panda). It matches the Rfam family "tRNA". From Rfam's summary of the family: Transfer RNA (tRNA) molecules are approximately 80 nucleotides in length. Their secondary structure includes four short double-helical elements and three loops (D, anti-codon, and T loops). Lineage: Eukaryota; Metazoa; Chordata; Mammalia; Carnivora; Ursidae. The record is from Rfam by way of RNAcentral.
ACCUGGCUGGUUCAGUAACUAGAGUGUGUGACUUUUGAUCUCAGGGUUGUGAGUUCCAGCCCCACGUUGGGUG